GUUAUAAAGAAAGAAAGAGCAGAACCAAGAGAGAGGGAGAGAGUGGAGCCCUAGUCGAUUGGCAACCCGCCGCCAAAGGUGGUGGUUCAUUUUGACAAGCGCAGGGACUGGUCUUUAAGUUUAACCCUAGUACCUUCCCCAAAUCAGAAUGGCACUAAACCCAAUGGUGCGGGCAUUGCAGCGGCCAACCACCAUCAAUACUCCAUCUAUGUUCUUCAUCCUAUCAUUUUGGAUCUGUGUGGAUGUUAGAGGUGAUGGUGAAACUCUUAGCCAAGUUGUAUCGUCUCAGGGGAAGAAAUGUUUAUGUUUAGUUUUCAUCUCAUCAAGAGCUAACCACAAUGUAGCAAAAUACUCAAGGACGAGUAGACUAGGAGGUUGACAUAUUUUAAAGAAGGGAUCUUUUUGGAGCUCAGAGCAUUGUCAUUAACAAGCCUCUUUCCCAGUAACCUAAUCGUUACUUCUAGUGGUGGAAAAUGGGCUGGUUAAGUGGAUCGGGUAACGGGUCAAAAGGAGUAAUUUUUUGGUACAAAUUACAACAGAUGGGGUCGGCUCGACUCACUUUUUGUUCAGAAGUUUUAGUUUUUUUAAUAAUAGUUGACGUGUCAAGUACGAUCACCAAAGUUAUAUUGUUAAAAAAAUAAUAAAAAAAGCUUGACUCGACUCGACCCGAAACCCGUUCCGACCCGGACCUGUUUUGACCCGAACCAAAACAACCUUUUUUUAUAAUUGACCGUUCUGACCCAUUACCCGACCCGACCCGUUUGCCAGGUCUAGAAAUAUUAAAGUAGGAACUCAUACUAUCUUAUAAGUCAAUUUCAUAUAAAAAGAGGACCUUUUUUAUGAGGUGUCUGCACCAUUAGAUUUGUUUGCAUUGUUUAUCAAUUAGAUUUGUUUGCAUUGUUUAUCUGCUUGGUUUUGACUUGGGUUAGAAUGGUUUCAGGUCAGAAUGGGUUCAAUUGGGUUCGGGUCAAAACGGGUCGCAACCAAAAUAAGUUUGGGUCAAGAUGGAUUCUAGCAAAAAUAGGUACGGGUCAAAAUGGAUCAACUUUGACUAUAUUAAACUACCAUAAGAGAAUCCCUUAUGUAUUAACGCUACGUGUCUACGUCAGCCAGGAGGUACUGAAUGCGGCUACUAUGUGAUGAAAUUCAUGAAGGAGAUAGCUUACGAAGGAGUUGAAAUACUUGAUAAUGAUAAUGGAAAGGAGUAGAAGAAUACUCGGCUGCGGAUAUGGAUGACAUUCAUGAAGAUUGGUUGACUUAUGCGAUUAACCUUAUUUUUAAGUUAUAAAUCUUAUUUUAGGUGUUGAUAAUGUAUUGACAAACAAUUCUUUUUUUGUUAAUGUAAAAAUAUUUGUAGUAUACUUGGCAAAUGAUUAUGUAAUGGAUUGUUUUGGUAUAUAUAUGUGUGUGUAUUUGUU
RNAcentral lists this long non-coding RNA (1418 nucleotides) under Helianthus annuus (common sunflower). RNAcentral's name for it is "hypothetical non coding rna". The record is from RNAcentral. Lineage: Eukaryota; Viridiplantae; Streptophyta; Magnoliopsida; Asterales; Asteraceae.